AUUCUAACAUCUUCGACAUGUAUUUUUCUGGAUUCUCCAUGGAUCGAGGACAAUCUCGAGUUACCAACAGUCCUCAGACCUGUCCGGAGAAGCACUAGUAGCAAGCAGAAUAUGUCAGUCAACUGCAAAAUUGAUGUGGCAACCCCAUGAUAGCAGUAGAUCAGGCUUGAUAUGUGCUUAGAGGUUGUGGAUAAUUAGGACAGCAGCGGCAGCAGAAGAUACGGAAGGUAGGAGAUCAGUGUUUGUCCAAAAACGAAGUCGUAAGGAGCAGAGGAUGGUAACAUGCAAUUCCUUGGGAGAGAGCUCCCAUGGCAGCAGGGAGAAGUGAGUUUCUCAUUCAAGUAGCAGAGGAGAGGAGAAGGAUAGCCUUCUAGCAGUACUGUGCAAGACCUGCAGCAUGGCAAUGUAGUAGUAGUAUUUAGCAUGGGAUUAGUAGUCAAUUCUAAUAUUGAAUCUAAUGUAAUGACUAGAGACUUCUAUAUUAGUUUAUAAUCAUGCAGAUAAGCAUAAUCUUAGUUACAUCUUUCUCUUUCUGCAUUGAUGAUUUAGAUUAGCUAAUAGCAAUUCUAAUUAUUUUUUCCUUUGGCAGGCUUCUAUAAGGGAAGAUGGAAACUACAUCAGCUGGAUGAGGGAACAUUGUAGUCUGAUUAUUGAUACCAUUUUAUGAGAACAGAUACUGCCAUCUAUCUUAUCAAACAUGAUUUAGUAACUAUUGAAAUCACUUUAUCAUUGUCAAUAUUGAUUGUAUUUGUGAAGAAAAUUUGAGAAAGAAUCCUAACAUAGGAUUCCUUUAAAUUUUUUACCAGAUACUCAAAAUUAUACAGCAAGUACUCCAAUGCUCCAUCAGCCUGGCAUUAGGUUUGGUGUUGCUGUUUGAGAAGAAGAACAUAGCAUAUCUGUAGCAAAUCUUCCUAUAAUUGGAGGAAGGUUCUGAAGAAAGGUAGGAAAAGUGCAGCUUGUGAUGAGGAACUCCGUCACCAGUCACCUCAACAUCUGAUUCCAACUCAUCUCAAGGUUUUUGGCCACACCUCCACCAUGGGAAAAGAAGAUGAGGUGGCUGCUGUACUCCAUCCUCGGCAUGCGAUCCUCUAUUGUAGGAAAGCAUUUGUUGAAGCUGAAUUGGCUGUGGCUACAUUGAUGCAGUUGAUGAGGACAGAUGAAGAUUUUGUGGAGGUGUGGGGUUUGGGGUCCCAAACUUGUCUCCUAAAGACAUUCUCUCAUCCAAAAUGUCAAACUCACCUACAAACCAUGUGAGAGAAUUAUUUCUUUUUGGUCUUUUCUUUUUUUUUCUUCUUUUCUUCCACUUAUGUGUGGAUGUCAAUUCAAAAAUA
Molecule: non-coding RNA, 1331 nt
Organism: Musa acuminata subsp. malaccensis (wild Malaysian banana)
Lineage: Eukaryota; Viridiplantae; Streptophyta; Magnoliopsida; Zingiberales; Musaceae
Source: RefSeq, a predicted model, not a curated record